Nothoprocta perdicaria is the source of this 277-nucleotide long non-coding RNA. RefSeq lists it as uncharacterized. The record is from RefSeq and is a predicted model, not a curated record. The transcript has 2 exons. Lineage: Eukaryota; Metazoa; Chordata; Aves; Tinamiformes; Tinamidae.
GCGCUACUGCGUGUGUAACGCGCCGCUGCUGCGCCAGUUCCGCAACCCGGACACCAUCUUCAUCCUGGCCUUCGCCGUCAUCCUCCUCAACACCGACAUGUACAGCCCCAGCGUGAAGGCCGAGCGCAAGAUGAAGCUGGAGGACUUCAUCAAGAACCUGCGGGGGGUGGACAACGGCGAGGACAUCCCGCGGGACAUGCUGGUGGGCAUCUACCAGCGCAUCCAGAGCCGCGAGCUGCGCACCAACGACGACCACGUGUCCCAGGUCCAGGCCGUG